CCUACGGGUGGCAGCAGCAAGGAAUUUUCCGCAAUGGGGGAAACCCUGACGGAGCAACGCCGCGUGCGGGAUGACGCGUUUCGGCGUGUAAACCGCUUUUCUUGGGGAGGAUGGAGGACAGUACCCGAGGAAGAAGGCCCGGCUAACUACGUGCCAGCAGCCGCGGUAAUACGUAGGGGCCGAGCGUUGUCCGGAGUUAUUGGGCGUAAAGCGCGCGCAGGCGGCCUCGCGCGCCCGACGUGAAAGCCCCCGGCUUAACCGGGGAGAGUCGUUGGGGACGGCGGGGCUUGAGGGCGGGAGAGGUCGGUGGAAUUCCCGGUGUAGUGGUGAAAUGCGUAGAGAUCGGGAGGAACACCUGUGGCGAAGGCGGCCGACUGGGCCGACCCUGACGCUGAGGCGCGAAGGCGUGGGGAGCGAACGGGAUUAGAUACCCCAGUAGU
This 440-nucleotide ribosomal RNA is filed under the name uncultured bacterium. RNAcentral describes it as "bacterial SSU rRNA". It matches the Rfam family "Bacterial small subunit ribosomal RNA", at positions 338 to 794 of the family's 1533-position model. The record is from RNAcentral.